RNAcentral lists this microRNA precursor (67 nucleotides) under Glycine max (soybean). Its description in RNAcentral is "MIR4359 microRNA precursor family". It matches the Rfam family "MIR4359 microRNA precursor family". Lineage: Eukaryota; Viridiplantae; Streptophyta; Magnoliopsida; Fabales; Fabaceae. The record is from Rfam by way of RNAcentral.
AUGUUAACAUGUGAUACGUUAAUAUCGGUUUUCCAAAAAACCGAUGUUAAUGUAUACACGUUAACAU